Molecule: long non-coding RNA, 790 nt
Organism: Folsomia candida
Lineage: Eukaryota; Metazoa; Arthropoda; Collembola; Entomobryomorpha; Isotomidae
Exons: 3
Source: RefSeq, a predicted model, not a curated record
ACAUUUCCAAAAUAUCGGAAACAUACAUAUGCACACACUUAAAAAUAAUGUUACUCUUUUAAAAAAUAACUGCAACGUAAAUUCUAAAUUAUGUAAACUAUCCUACAUAAAUCCAGAGCAACGUUGACUUGAUAAAGAAUCAUUCCAAGAAAAAAUUUCCAAUCAAGCCGAGAUGAGGACAAUAAUUGCCCUGGUCACCGUGGCCUUCUUUCUCAUUGUGCAGGGAUCGGCCGAGAGCUGCAAUUCUGAUGCAGACUGUCCGAGUGGGUGCUGUGUCAUGUCCUUCGAGGAUCCUCUCAAGGAACUGAAGGAGUGCGUGGAAUUGUCACCGGAAGGUCGCCUUUGUUCCGACAGACGAGACCCACUAAACUGGUUUUGCCCCUGUGCUGCAGGUCUCAAUUGUGUCAAGCAGCCAGGACUUUUUGACGGCCACAGGUGCACCCGGCCAUAGCAUUGACAAUAUGUAUGACUGGAUUUAGUACAUAAUUGUGAAAUCGAAUAAGCAAAAACAUGAGUUUUAUAAAUAUAUUGGUGAGUGCUAAAUAUGUGGGGACGUUCGUAAACUUUGCAACGCAAGUUUUGACUUUGGUCCAAAUUUUUUUACCAACCUGUAUCUCAUAUUUAGGCACGAUAACAUUACCACUGCGUUAUGAUGUUUACGAACGUCCCUUAUUUUGAAUCGUACCUCUUGAAACAUAUUUUUUGGCUAAAAAUGCUGCGACCCAGAAAAUGUUAUUUAGUAAUAAGUGACUCAUUAAAGGUUCUAAAAUAAAUAAUUAUAUUUUAUUUA